Molecule: ribosomal RNA, 568 nt
Filed under: uncultured bacterium
Lineage: Bacteria
Description: bacterial SSU rRNA
Source: RNAcentral
GCCAUGAUACGCCAAGCUAUUUAGGUGACACUAUAGAAUACUCAAGCUAUGCAUCCAACGCGUUGGGAGCUCUCCCAUAUGGUCGACCUGCAGGCGGCCGCGAAUUCACUAGUGAUUAGAGUUUGAUCAUGGCUCAGGAUAAACGCUGGCGGCGUGCCUUAAGCAUGCAAGUCGCACGGACUGCAAGGUCAGUGGCGGACGGCUGAGGAAGACAGGAGGAACCUGCCCGAGGGAGGGGGAUACCCCCGCGAAAGCGGGGCUAAGACCGCGUAAUCUUCUAGAGGGAAGAGCUUUAGAAGGAAAAGGGUAAAACCUGCCCUUGGAGGGGCUCCUGGCCCAUCAGGUAGUUGGAGUGGUAAGAGCACCCCAAGCCGAUGACGGGUAGCUGGUCUGAGAGGAUGAUCAGCCAGACUGGGAYUGAGAACGGCCCAGACUCCUACGGGAGGCAGCAGCUAGGAAUCUUGCGCAAUGGGCGAAARCCUGACGCAGCGACGCCGCGUGGGGGACGAAGGUCUUCGGAUUGUAAACCCCUUUUSUCGGGGACGAGCAAGGACGGUACCCGACGAAG